AGAACGAACGCUGGCGGCAGGCCUCAAACAUGCAAGUCUAGGGGGCGUAGCAAUACGUCACCGGCGGACGGGUGCGUAACACGUGGGAAUGUACUUAUUGGUUCGGAACAACUCAGGGAAACUUGAGCUAAUACCGAAUGUGCCCGAAAGGGGAAAGAUUUAUCGCCAAUAAAUCAGCCCGCGUCCGAUUAGCUAGUUGGUGGGGUAAAGGCCCACCAAGGCGACGAUCGGUAGCUGUUCUGAGAGGAAGAUCAGCCACACUGGGACUGAGACACGGCCCCAGACUCCUACGGGAGGCAGCAGUUGGGAAUCUUGGACAAUGGGGAAACCUGAUCCAGCCAUGCCGCGUGAGUGAUGAAGGCCUUCGGGUUGUAAAACUCUUUCGACGGGGACGAUAAUGACGGUACCCGUAGAAGAAGCUCCGGCUAACGUUCGCGCCAGCAGCCGC
Molecule: ribosomal RNA, 448 nt
Filed under: uncultured bacterium
Lineage: Bacteria
Description: SSU rRNA
Rfam family: Bacterial small subunit ribosomal RNA
Source: RNAcentral